GGUCGAGGAGUUGAACUCCAUCCUGUGGGCUUAUCGGACAACCCCUCGUGUUCCGACCGGGGAGUCACCUUUCAGUUUAGCCUAUGGGACAGAGGCAAUGAUACCGCUCGAGAUCGGGCUGCCAUCAACUAGGGUCGAGCAGUAUCAAGAGCCGAACAACUCUGAGUGCCGGAGAGCCAACCUAGACCUCCUCCCCGAGCUUCGGAGCGAGGCUCAACUUCGCAUGGCUUCUUACCAAC
Molecule: long non-coding RNA, 239 nt
Filed under: Elaeis guineensis (African oil palm)
Lineage: Eukaryota; Viridiplantae; Streptophyta; Magnoliopsida; Arecales; Arecaceae
Description: long non-coding RNA (EGUI_LNC059985)
Source: RNAcentral